GUAUACUCGCCGCAGUCAACCACCUGGGUUCUCAGGAUUUCAAGGCUGGAGAUAUACUUUGAAGAUCGAAUAGAACACUUGUCACUCUCAUAAAUUUCUCGGCCAGCUUUAAACCACUGGAACCGGACAUUGGGAGCACUUUGGAUCUCACAGCAUAUAAGCAUUAGAAGACAGGACUCAAGUGUCUGCUGGCUGUAAAAAUACUGGAGAAACUCAUCUAUAGCAUGCAGAAUACAUAUUCAGUCAUUGUGUACAAUGCAGCUGUAUAGUCCUUGGUCUACCAGCUGAACAUUACAUAUGACUCAGGUUGGCUGUGCUUGAUACUUGGCCUACAGCAUUACUAGCAACAAACGUCUUCUUCCUUUGGUGAACUGAAUGAGGCACCAGGAUACACAUGAACUGCCACUGGACAUGAACUGCACACAAUAAAAACCCGGCAUUGAAAACGGGCUGGCUGCCCUUCAGAAGUGACAGUGUCCUGAAGCGGGGUGAUGAUGGCAGGUGGAUAAACAGGCAUUUCCUGAUC
Molecule: long non-coding RNA, 526 nt
Filed under: Homo sapiens (human)
Lineage: Eukaryota; Metazoa; Chordata; Mammalia; Primates; Hominidae
Description: long non-coding RNA NONHSAT183203
Source: RNAcentral